Molecule: long non-coding RNA, 357 nt
Organism: Pseudophryne corroboree (corroboree frog)
Lineage: Eukaryota; Metazoa; Chordata; Amphibia; Anura; Myobatrachidae
Exons: 2
Source: RefSeq, a predicted model, not a curated record
GCGAGUCUGUUCUUCGUCCUUAGCUCCGCAGCGGCGGCUAUGAGUGAGCCGAGAUGCAGUGCCGGACAGGACGGAACCUAGUGACAAUAACCCCGGCAGCGCAUCCGAAGCACGCUGUCCGCGCCGAAGGGGGUCGAGGCGCUCUUUCCUGAGAGCGAAGACUUGAGGGACCUUGGGCCGACUAUCAUCGAAUGCAGUCUCAGAAGUGGAAUUUGGAACUGACCACUUUCUUAGGGUUAAUUGCUGCAGGAUAUUUCACAGGAGAUCCAGUGGAUUAAAUUCACAUUUAUGGUUCACUGAAUCAUUUGUAGAUGCAUUAAUGAAUUAAUCUUAAUUAAAAAGCAUGUCAGCACAUUA